AGGCGAGCGUUGGGCGCCACCGCCGCCGCCGCCGCGACGCCCCCAUCCGGAUCACACCUCUCCCUUCCCCGCAGCUUCAGACACGUGCGUGCAGCGGCCAGACCUUUAUUGCCUUGUUGUUGCUGGCUGCUUCUUGAUUUAAUUUCACCUCGUCAUGAGUAGGGAGACAAGGAUGAUGAGGCGACGGUGAGGCGGCGAGGCGAGGCGUUGCAAGUUAUUUAAAAGUUUGGGAUAAGGUUCUGCGACACUUCACCCGACCUGCCCUAAGAAACCAAACCUCAGUCUCGCACCUGAGAGAGAGAGAGAGAGAGAGAGAGAGAGAGUGUUGACAGUAGAGAAGUACUUUGACCUUCCCGUUGCUAAUAGAUGCCUCCCCCCCUCUCCCCGAGCCUCCGUCACCGCCGCCCACGCCCCCAGCAGUUCCCGUCCCUUCGUGGCAUCCCGUCUGCCCACCUUGACGUCAGUGCCCCAUUUGCCACACCGACCGACUUUUUUCCCCUUCGUUUUUUUACCUUUUGUUCCUUCUACUUAUCCUCCUCUCUCUCCCUUUCCCUUUUCUUCCCCUUGAUUCUCCUCCUCUUCACCAACUGGCUCUUUCCUUUGUUUGUUUUUGUACUUUUCCCUUAUUUUUCUUUUUUGUUUCUUAUAUUCUCCUUCUCUCCUUUCUCUCUUAUUGCCUCUGUUUCUCCUCCUCCUCCUUCUCCAAUUGCCUUUUUCUCCUCUUCCUUUUUUUUACCUACCUUUUGUUUCUUCUUUUCCUCCCCUCUCUCUUUCUCUCUCUCCCUUUUCCUCCUCCUCCUCCUCCUCUUCCUUCGGUUGACGUGUUUGGAGCGUCGACUUGAUUUUUGUCUCCCUUGUCAGCAUUGUCCGUCUUUUCUUUUUUCUUAAGACUUCACUCUGUCAUCACUCACAUCACUAGUCUCUCACCACACACACGUCUCUCUCUCUCUCUCUCUCUCUCUCUCUCUCUCUCUCUCUCUCUCUCUCUCUGUGUGUGUGUGCGUGCCUUCGCCAAGUGUUUCAUCCCACAAUAUCACUCAUGAACAUCUAUUCCGAGAGAGAGAGAGAGAGAGAGAGAGAGAGAGAGAGAGAGUUCACAUGUAGCAGAUCUUGUUUUUCUUUUUUCUUUUUUUUCUUAUCCUGUUUUCUUGUUUUCCCGUCUGUCUGAUUGCCGCUGCGUGGUGCCUCGGAGGUCAGGUCAGGUCAGGUCAGGUCACAGAGGUCACGUGCGUAUUACAGGUCAGCUCGGGGGGGAGGCGGGGAGGGGAGGGUCAAAGGGUAGAUGUCCAACUUGAUAACACCGAUUUCCUUCACUUCUACGAAUUUUGGUAACAUUGUUCAAAGUUAUACACGAUUGACAAUAACAAAUGGAGGUGGUAACACUGAUUUACCUUCCCUUAUAGAAGUAUACUGUAACAUUCGCGGGAUUGGUAACGCUGAUGUAAUAUUUUUUUAGAGGCAAGGAUUGGUAACACUGUAAAUUGCAAUACCAUUAUUUUAGAGGAGUAAGGCUCUUAGGAGAUUGGUAACGCUUAUUUUUUAGAAGAGUUGGCAGUACUGUAACAAUGAUGGUGGUGGUGAUGCAAGGUUUACAGAGGAAUUGGUAACGCUGUCUAUCGCAAUACCAUCUUAUUUUAGAGUUGGCAAUAAUGGCGGUGGCGGUGGUAGUGGUGCAAGGAUUGGCAACACUGUCUUUCUCUUCCGCUUUACCUUUGCAAAUUUGGUAAAGCAUCGACCUUCGUGCGUGGAGGCUGGCAACACUGCGGCCUUGAGCAGCGUGUAAUAGCCGCGGCCUUCACACCUCGGCCCUGUCAACGGUUGGGGGGGGAGGGGGGGGGGUCCACUUCACCGCCGCCGCGCACUUUGCUGAGCUGUUCCUUGGUGCUGAGUGAUCUGGACUGACUGACUGACUGACCUCUCCCUCCCUCCCUUCCUCCUUUCUUUCCUCCCUUCGUCAUUCUUUCCCCUCCUUUCCCUUACCUCCCUCACCCUCUAUUGCGUUCCUAUUCUCUGUUGCUUGCCUAACCUUUGCUUGCCUAACCUCCUCCUCCUCUCCUUUCUCUACCGUCUCCUUCUCUCCUCUUCUCUACCUCCUCUUUUUCUAGUCCUUUCUCCGUAUCUAGUUACUCUUUCCUCCUUUCUUUCAGCUCCAUCACCUCCUCCGUUUCCUUCUCUUCAUCUCUGUUGCUUCCCUUUAACCUCCUCCUCCUCCUCCAUUCCUUUCUUUACCUUCAUUUACUCUCUCCUUCUUCCUUCACCUCCAUCACCUCUUCUGUUCCCUUCAUUGCUUCCGCCUUCACCACCACCUCGAUUUCUUCCUUCCCUCGUCUCCACCCUCUCAAUAUCUUCUUUUUUUCGUCUUUUCUUCCUCAGCUUGCAUUCCGCUAACUCCCAUCUCCUCCUCCUUUCCUCCUCCUCUUCAUCGCUCAUCUCUUUCUGCCUCUGUAAUACACACACACACACACACACACACACGUUCACCCCACACACACACACACACUCAUACCUUCCCCCUUCCUCACCCCCCACACACACACUCAAACACAGACGCACACACGCACACCGCGGUUUUAUGUUUUACGACUUUCUCUUCUCCUCCUUGGCGGCGUCUUGGGAUGAGGGAGAGGUGAAAGGAAUCCCAGUAAUGAGUGGAGGCGCCUGUCUUUUUUGCCUCCAAGGUCAGUCAAGAGAGCGCGCUGGAAGGGACGUCGCCGAGGGUGUUAGGUCACUUAUUCUUCAGCGUAUCAGUCCCAUUGCGAUCAUUACCAAGGCCACGGAGAAGAUUAACCGGGUAUUCAUGCGUUUUUGUUCUCAUUUUCCCCCGUUUAAUUAAUGUGUAGAUGUCAGGUUAAACUAUCACUAGGAUCACAGAAGUCCGUGAAAAUCCCAGCAACUUUUACGAGAGGCUUUGCAGACGGGCGCACUUAGGAGCCGAUACCUUUUAAGUCUGCGGGAUUAGGUUAGCUUAAGUUAGAUAGAUAAGUCGAUAAAACACUAGAGCAAGAUUGAGGUAUAGGAUAUGUUUAAGAAUACGGGCUUAUGGUAGGUUACGUUAGGUCAAGUCAGGUUGGGUUGGGUAAAGUUUAGGUUAGGUUGGGUUAGCCUUUUGGUUAGGUAGAUGACGAAGCCCUGAUAAAACAUUAAAGUGAGGUUGAGGUUUUGGUUAGGUUAGGUUAGCUUAGGUUAGGUUAGGUUAGGUUAGCCUCUUGGUUAGGUAGAUGACGAAGCCCUGAUAAAACAUUAAAGCGAGGUUGAGGUUUUGGUUAGGUUAGCUUAGGUAAGGUUAGGUUAGGUUAGCGUCUUAGGUAAAUGACGAAGCCUUAAUAAAACACUAAGGCAAGGUCGCCCGACGCCGCCUCGCCCGUGCCUCGCGCCAAGUACUUAACGAAGUUCAAAGACGCCCAUUCACGGUGUCUUCUGGGCCCCGACGUGAGCCCCGAGGCGUAGGAGGUAAGAGGAGGAGGAGGUGUGGCGGCGCGAGACGAGACGAGGCGGAUAGAGAGGAGGAGGUGAAGAAGUAGGAAGGAGGUAACGAAGUAGGAGAAAUAGAGGAGGUAAAGAGAUGGGGGAGAUUGAGAUAUAGACUGUUAUGUUGCCUCUUUAUCCUUCUUUCAUGAUUGUUUUGUUUCUUGUUGUUUUAAUUAAGGAAAGUUUAAAGAAAGGAGGCAAAGAAGAAAUAGGAAGAAGGUAGAGAGAUGGGAAAGAUUGAGAUGUAGAUAGUUAGGUUACUGAUUGUUUUGAGGGUGUGUGUGAUCAUCCUGUUUUCGUCAUGUUUAGCUGCUUUGUUUCUUGUUUGUGGGGAAAGUUAGAAGUAAAGUUUAUUAUGUUCUUUUAAUGGGUAGUUCGUUGUCACUAACAUUUGAAGUUUUGGCUUGUUUUGAUGAACUGGAGAAAGGAAAACACAGAUUACUAUUACUAUUUCUACUACUAUUACUACCAUUACUUAUACAACCAACAAAGACACAUAGUUAAGAUUAGAAGAUGAAAUGGAAGAGAUCAUUAAAAUAUAUAAGUUCUGAGAAACCAAAACUGACAAACAACGACAAAAACAACACAGACAAACCAAAACGUAAGAGAAAGCAAAGCAAACCAGGACCAAAACAAACCAGGAAAGAACCAAACUCUCAAUCCUCUCUCUCCCUCUUUCUCUCUCACACUAUCUCAUCAUUACCAGCAUCGCAUCGCACUCUAUCGAUUCAUGUUUGUCUUACGCUCUGAGACCUUCCUCAUGAAUGCUGGCAGACCCCUAGUGUAGGUUAUCUCCCUCCCUCCCUCCCUUACCCCUCUUCCCUCCACGAGCCAGUCUCUCCCCGCUGGCGCCACUGAGGAGGAGGAGGAGGAAAGGAGAGAAAGAUUAGGUUGUGUGUGUUAGUUCGUCUGUUCGCCCUCUCAUAACCACGUUACUUCAGCG
Long non-coding RNA from Eriocheir sinensis (Chinese mitten crab), 4411 nucleotides. RefSeq lists it as uncharacterized. The record is from RefSeq and is a predicted model, not a curated record. Lineage: Eukaryota; Metazoa; Arthropoda; Malacostraca; Decapoda; Varunidae. The transcript has 3 exons.